Molecule: transfer RNA, 72 nt
Filed under: Pectinophora gossypiella (pink bollworm)
Lineage: Eukaryota; Metazoa; Arthropoda; Insecta; Lepidoptera; Gelechiidae
Description: transfer RNA valine (anticodon UAC)
Rfam family: tRNA
About the family: Transfer RNA (tRNA) molecules are approximately 80 nucleotides in length. Their secondary structure includes four short double-helical elements and three loops (D, anti-codon, and T loops).
Source: RNAcentral
GUCUCCGUGGUCCAGUGGUUGAGCUUUGGCCUUACGAUCCGGAGGUCCCGGGUUCGAAUCCCGGUGGGGACA